UGGGGAAUCUUGCGCAAUGGGCGAAAGCCUGACGCAGCCAUGCCGCGUGAAUGAUGAAGGUCUUAGGAUUGUAAAAUUCUUUCACCGGGGACGAUAAUGACGGUACCCGGAGAAGAAGCCCCGGCUAACUUCGUGCCAGCAGCCGCGGUAAUACGAAGGGGGCUAGCGUUGCUCGGAAUUACUGGGCGUAAAGGGAGCGUAGGCGGACAUUUAAGUCAGGGGUGAAAUCCCGGGGCUCAACCUCGGAAUUGCCUUUGAUACUGGGUGUCUUGAGUAUGAGAGAGGUGUGUGGAACUCCGGGUGUAGAGGUGAAAUUCGUAGAUAUUCGGAAGAACACCAGUGGCGAAGGCGACACACUGGCUCAUUACUGACGCUGAGGCUCGAAAGCGGGGGGAGCAAACAGG
This 404-nucleotide ribosomal RNA is filed under the name Actinomycetes bacterium. RNAcentral's name for it is "Actinobacteria bacterium partial 16S ribosomal RNA". It matches the Rfam family "Bacterial small subunit ribosomal RNA", at positions 355 to 776 of the family's 1533-position model. The record is from RNAcentral. Lineage: Bacteria; Bacillati; Actinomycetota; Actinomycetes.